RNAcentral lists this ribosomal RNA (253 nucleotides) under uncultured bacterium. Its description in RNAcentral is "partial 16S ribosomal RNA". It matches the Rfam family "Bacterial small subunit ribosomal RNA", at positions 524 to 776 of the family's 1533-position model. The record is from RNAcentral.
CACGUAGGGUGCGAGCGUUAAUCGGAAUUACUGGGCGUAAAGCGUGCGCAGGCGGUUCGUUAUGUCCGAUGUGAAAGCCCCGAGCUCAACUUGGGAAUGGCAUUGGAAACUGGCGGGCUGGAGUGUGGCAGAGGGGGGUGGAAUUCCACGUGUAGCAGUGAAAUGCGUAGAGAUGUGGAGGAACACCGAUGGCGAAGGCAGCCCCCUGGGCCAACACUGACGCUCAGGCACGAAAGCGUGGGGAGCAAACAGG